This 484-nucleotide ribosomal RNA is filed under the name uncultured bacterium. RNAcentral's name for it is "partial 16S ribosomal RNA". It matches the Rfam family "Bacterial small subunit ribosomal RNA", at positions 30 to 507 of the family's 1533-position model. The record is from RNAcentral.
AUUGAACGCUGGCGGCAGGCCUAACACAUGCAAGUCGAGCGGAUGAAGGGAGCUUGCUCCUGGAUUCAGCGGCGGACGGGUGAGUAAUGCCUAGGAAUCUGCCUGGUAGUGGGGGAUAACGUCCGGAAACGGGCGCUAAUACCGCAUACGUCCUGAGGGAGAGAGUGGGGGAUCUUCGGACCUCACGCUAUCAGAUGAGCCUAGGUCGGAUUAGCUAGUUGGUGGGGUAAAGGCCUACCAAGGCGACGAUCCGCAACUGGUCUGAGAGGAUGAUCAGUCACACUGGAACUGAGACACGGUCCAGACUCCUACGGGAGGCAGCAGUGGGGAAUAUUGGACAAUGGGCGAAAGCCUGAUCCAGCCAUGCCGCGUGUGUGAAGAAGGUCUUCGGAUUGUAAAGCACUUUAAGUUGGGAGGAAGGGCAGUAAGUUAAUACCUUGCUGUUUUGACGUUACCAACAGAAUAAGCACCGGCUAACUUCGCG